This 477-nucleotide ribosomal RNA is filed under the name uncultured bacterium. RNAcentral's name for it is "partial 16S ribosomal RNA". It matches the Rfam family "Bacterial small subunit ribosomal RNA", at positions 30 to 507 of the family's 1533-position model. The record is from RNAcentral.
AUUGAACGCUGGCGGCAUGCCUUACACAUGCAAGUCGAACGGUAACAGGUUAAGCUGACGAGUGGCGAACGGGUGAGUAAUGUAUCGGAACGUGCCCAGUCGUGGGUGAUAACUGCUCGAAAGAGCAGCUAAUACCGCAUACGACCUGAGGGUGAAAGCGGGGGAUCGCAAGACCUCGCGCGAUUGGAGCUGCCGAUAUCAGAUUAGGUAGUUGGUGAGGUAAAGGCUCACCAAGCCGACGAUCUGUAGCUGGUCUGAGAGGACGACCAGCCACACUGGGACUGAGACACGGCCCAGACUCCUACGGGAGGCAGCAGUGGGGAAUUUUGGACAAUGGGCGCAAGCCUGAUCCAGCCAUGCCGCGUGCGGGAAGAAGGCCUUCGGGUUGUAAACCGCUUUUGUCAGGGAAGAAAAGGUUCUGGCUAAUACCUGGGACUCAUGACGGUACCUGAAGAAUAAGCACCGGCUAACUACGUG